CUACGGGGGGCUCCAGUGGGGAAUAUUGCACAAUGGGCGCAAGCCUGAUGCAGCCAUGCCGCGUGUAUGAAGAAGGCCUUCGGGUUGUAAAGUACUUUCAGCGGGGAGGAAGGGAGUAAAGUUAAUACCUUUGCUCAUUGACGUUACCCGCAGAAGAAGCACCGGCUAACUCCGUGCCAGCAGCCGCGGUAAUACGGAGGGUGCAAGCGUAAUCGGAAUUACUGGGCGUAAAGCGCACGCAGGCGGUUUGUUAAGUCAGAUGUGAAAUCCCCGGGCUCAACCUGGGAACUGCAUCUGAUACUGGCAAGCUUGAGUCUCGUAGAGGGGGGUAGAAUUCCAGGUGUAGCGGUGAGAUGCGUAGAGAUCUGGAGGAAUACCGGUGGCGAAGGCGGCCCCCUGGACGAAGACUGACGCUCAGGUGCGAAAGCGUGGGGAGCAAACAGGAUUAGAUACCCGAGUAGUC
Molecule: ribosomal RNA, 463 nt
Filed under: uncultured bacterium
Lineage: Bacteria
Description: partial 16S ribosomal RNA
Rfam family: Bacterial small subunit ribosomal RNA
Source: RNAcentral